AUGAGAGCCGCGGCCACAUCCACAGCCUUCUCCCUCCUCUCGCCCUCCCGCCUCCGGACCUCCGCUCCCACCACCACCAGCCUCCCCUACCGCCGUCGUCCCCGCAUCGCCGCCAUGGCCACCGCCGCCGCCUCCUUCCGCCCGGAGGCCGCGCGCUCGCCCCCCGCCGUCGAGCCCCCGGCCCCGCCGCUCUCCAAGUUCAAGGUGGCGCUGUGCCAGCUCUCGGUGACGGCGGACAAGGCUCGCAACAUCGCGCGCGCCCGCGCCGCCAUCGAGUCCGCCGCGGCCGACGGCGCCAAGCUCGUGCUCCUCCCGAUAUGGAACGGUCCAUAUUCAAAUGACAGCUUUCCGGAGUAUGCUGAGGACAUUGAGGCUGGUGGCGAUGCAGCUCCUUCAUUUUCAAUGAUGUCUGAUGUUGCUCGCAGCUUGCAAAUUACUCUUGUUGGUGGAUCCAUAUCAGAACGUUCUGGUAACAGCUUGUACAAUACAUGCUGCGUCUUUGGUUCAGAUGGCAAGCUUAAGGGUAAACAUAGAAAGGUCCAUCUUUUUGAUAUUGAUAUUCCAGGAAAGAUUACAUUCCAGGAAUCAAAAACCCUUACUGCUGGGCAGGAUCUUACUAUUGUUGACACAGAUGUAGGCCGAAUUGGUAUAGGCAUUUGCUAUGACAUUCGUUUCCAGGAAUUGGCAAUGUUGUAUGCUGCAAGAGGUGCUCAUUUGCUAUGCUAUCCUGGUGCUUUCAACAUGACUACUGGACCAUUGCACUGGGAGUUGCUUCAACGCGCAAGGGCUGCUGACAACCAGCUUUUUGUGGCAACCUGUGCUCCAGCUCGAGAUACUAGUUCAAGCUAUGUUGCUUGGGGACAUUCCACUCUUGUUGGACCGUUUGGUGAGGUGAUCGCCACAAUUGAGCAUGAUGAAGCAACUAUAAUAGCUGAGAUUGAUUAUUCAUUGAUUGAGCAGAGGAGGCAAUUUCUUCCUCUGCGACACCAACGACGUGGAGAUCUCUAUCAGUUGGUAGAUGUCCAGGGAUCGGGCUCCAAGUAG
This 1044-nucleotide ribosomal RNA is filed under the name Triticum aestivum (bread wheat). RNAcentral describes it as "partial small subunit ribosomal RNA". Lineage: Eukaryota; Viridiplantae; Streptophyta; Magnoliopsida; Poales; Poaceae. The record is from RNAcentral.